GAUGAACGCUGGCGGCGUGCUUAACACAUGCAAGUCGAACGGAAAGGCCCUGCUUUUGUGGGGUGCUCGAGUGGCGCACGGGUGUGUAACACGUGAGUAUCCUGCCCUUGUCUUUGGGAUAUCUCCAGGAAACUGGGGCUCAUACCGGAUAGGAGCUCCUGCAGCAUGGUGGGGGUUGGAAAGUUUCGGCGGUUGGGGAUGGACUAGCGGCUUACGAGCUUGUUGGUGUGGUAGUGGCUUACCAAGGCUUUGACGGGUAGCCGGCCUGAGAGGGUGACCGGCGACAUUGGGACUGAGGUACGCACCAGACUCGUACGGUAGGCAGCAGUGGGGAAUAUUACAGAGUGGGGGGACGCCUGAGGCAGCAACGCCGCGUGCGGGAUGACGGGCUUCGGGUUGUAAACCGCUGUCGCCGGUGACGAAGCGGGAGUGACGGUAAUGGGUAAAGAAGCAACGGCUAACUACGUG
Molecule: ribosomal RNA, 468 nt
Filed under: uncultured bacterium
Lineage: Bacteria
Description: partial 16S ribosomal RNA
Rfam family: Bacterial small subunit ribosomal RNA
Source: RNAcentral